This 343-nucleotide unclassified non-coding RNA is filed under the name soil metagenome. Its description in RNAcentral is "partial contains 5.8S ribosomal RNA, internal transcribed spacer 2, and large subunit ribosomal RNA". The stretch from base 5 to 119 matches the Rfam family "5.8S ribosomal RNA", at positions 40 to 154 of the family's 154-position model. The record is from RNAcentral.
GAUGAGAACGUAGCGAAAUGCGAUAAGUAAUGUGAAUUGCAGAAUUCAGUGAAUCAUCGAAUCUUUGAACGCACAUUGCGCCCGCCAGUAUUCUGGCGGGCAUGCCUGUUCGAGCGUCAUUUCAACCCUCAAGCCCCCGGGCUUGGUGUUGGGGAUCGGCGUGCCCUCGCGGCGCGCCGUCCCCUAAAUCUAGUGGCGGUCUCGCUGUAGCUUCCUCUGCGUAGUAGCAACACUCGCACUGGAUCGCAGCGCGGCCACGCCGUUAAACCCCCCACUUCUGAAAGUUUGACCUCGGAUCAGGUAGGAAUACCCGCUGAACUUAAGCAUAUCAAUAAGCGGAGGA